This 484-nucleotide ribosomal RNA is filed under the name uncultured bacterium. RNAcentral describes it as "partial 16S ribosomal RNA". It matches the Rfam family "Bacterial small subunit ribosomal RNA", at positions 30 to 507 of the family's 1533-position model. The record is from RNAcentral.
AUUGAACGCUGGCGGCAGGCCUAACACAUGCAAGUCGAGCGGAUGAAGGGAGCUUGCUCCUGGAUUCAGCGGCGGACGGGUGAGUAAUGCCUAGGAAUCUGCCUGGUAGUGGGGGAUAACGUCCGGAAACGGGCGCUAAUACCGCAUACGUCCUGAGGGAGAAAGUGGGGGAUCUUCGGACCUCACGCUAUCAGAUGAGCCUAGGUCGGAUUAGCUAGUUGGUGGGGUAAAGGCCUACCAAGGCGACGAUCCGUAACUGGUCUGAGAGGAUGAUCAGUCACACUGGAACUGAGACACGGUCCAGACCCCUACGGGAGGCAGCAGUGGGGAAUAUUGGACAAUGGGCGAAAGCCUGAUCCAGCCAUGCCGCGUGUGUGAAGAAGGUCUUCGGAUUGUAAAGCACUUUAAGUUGGGAGGAAGGGCAGUAAGUCAAUACCUUGCUGUUUUGACGUUACCAACAGAAUAAGCACCGGCUAACUUCGUG